CCUACGGGGGGCAGCAGUGAGGAAUAUUGGUCAAUGGGCGUAAGCCUGAACCAGCCAAGUCGCGUGAGGGAUGAAGGUUCUAUGGAUCGUAAACCUCUUUUAUAAGGGAAUAAAGUGCGGGACGUGUCCCGUUUUGUAUGUCCCUUAUGAAUAAGGCUCGGCUAACUCCGUGCCAGCAGCCGCGGUAAUACGGAGGGUCCGAGCGUUAUCCGGAUUUAUUGGGUUUAAAGGGUGCGUAGGCGGCCUAUUAAGUCAGAUGUGAAAGUCUGUGGCUCAACCAUAGAAUUGCCGUUGAAACUGGGAGGCUUGAGUAUGUUUGAGGCAGGCGGAAUGCGUGGUGUAGCGGUGAAAUGCUUAGAUAUCACGCAGAACCCCGAUUGCGAAGGCAGACUGCCAAGCCAUGACUGACGCUGAUGCACGAAAGCGUGGGGAGCAAACAGGAUUAGAUACCCUUGUAGUC
This 460-nucleotide ribosomal RNA is filed under the name uncultured bacterium. RNAcentral describes it as "partial 16S ribosomal RNA". It matches the Rfam family "Bacterial small subunit ribosomal RNA", at positions 338 to 795 of the family's 1533-position model. The record is from RNAcentral.